Ruditapes philippinarum (Manila clam) is the source of this 1106-nucleotide long non-coding RNA. RefSeq lists it as uncharacterized. The record is from RefSeq and is a predicted model, not a curated record. NCBI's taxonomy places the organism in Eukaryota, Metazoa, Mollusca, Bivalvia, Venerida, Veneridae. The transcript is spliced from 4 exons.
CAGUUCAGGUACGACCACGCCGGCAUCACUCGGGGGUCUCCGUGAAUUCACGUAUAGUUUCCAAUCAACACCUAUCAUAAGCACCGAUGGCCUGCCCUCCCCAAUGCCACCUGGUAAUAGGCAACGUCGUGCAUCAAUGCAAGACGCUAUAGAUUUCCGGAAAAUAGAUUCAAAACUUUACGAUAGAAGGUCGUUACAAAGACAACAGUCUGUCGCAAGCAUCGAGGAGGAUCCUCUUGGAAGUAUUAACUUUAGUAUCGAAUUUAACUACAAAACAAGCUUGCUCACUGUGUACCUUGUUGAAGCAGAAAAUCUUGUAUCACGUGACUUUAGUGGAACUUCUGAUCCAUAUUGUAAAGUAUGCGUUCUUCCCGACAGACGAAAUCAGUAAAAAAGCAAAGUUCAUAGAAAAACUACGAAUCCUGUUUUUGACGAAGAAUUUAUUUUUGAAAUUGAUCCAGAUAUUUAACAUACCAUGACUCUCGAAUUGCUCAUUUUUGACUAUGACCAGAUUUCGCGACAUGACUGCAUUGGACAAGUUAAAUUGCCCCUAGAUAAUGUGGAUUUUUCUCAGCGACAAACGUACUGGAAACCUAUUGCCAAAAGGGAACAAAAAGGAAUAUCAACGAAUGGUGACCUAAUAUUUUCUCUAGGCUACUUGUCUAGUGCUGAAAGAUUAACAGUUGUGGUAAUGAAAGCCCAGAAACUUACGACACACUGAAGAAGGCAAAAUAACAAUGGAUCCCUACGUAAAAGUUUUGCUCAGUUUUGGUAACGGCAAGAAAUCAAAAAAGAAGAAGACAUCAACGAAGCACAAUGUACUCACGCCCGUGUGGAACGAGGCGUUAACCUUUAAUCUGCCAAAAGACUUCUUGAACUCUGUUUCUCUGGAGUUCCAUGUAUGUCAUGACAAUAAAAUGGGAAAUGAUGAAAUUCUAGGACGAACAAAGAUCUCGAAAGAUUCAAAUGGGGAUGAAAGAUUUCACUGGGAUGAAAUGGUGAACUGCAGAAGUGCAAUUGCCAGAUGGCAUACCCUCACGUCGAAGUGAUGAUUUCACAAUUCAAGCUAAUCUUGUGAAAAAUCAAACUUGUUUCUUUGAGGUCAG